Molecule: ribosomal RNA, 301 nt
Filed under: uncultured bacterium
Lineage: Bacteria
Description: partial 16S ribosomal RNA
Rfam family: Bacterial small subunit ribosomal RNA
Source: RNAcentral
CAGUAACCACGGGAAUACGGAGGGUGCAAGCGUUAUCCGGAUUUAUUGGGUUUAAAGGGUCCGUAGGCGGACUUAUAAGUCAGUGGUGAAAGCCUGUCGCUUAACGAUAGAACUGCCAUUGAUACUGUAAGUCUUGAGUAUAUUUGAGGUAGCUGGAAUAAGUAGUGUAGCGGUGAAAUGCAUAGAUAUUACUUAGAACACCAAUUGCGAAGGCAGGUUACCAAGAUAUAACUGACGCUGAGGGACGAAAGCGUGGGUAGCGAACAGGAUUAGAUACCCCUGUAGUCCCGUCUCUUAUACA